This 449-nucleotide ribosomal RNA is filed under the name uncultured bacterium. RNAcentral's name for it is "partial 16S ribosomal RNA". It matches the Rfam family "Bacterial small subunit ribosomal RNA", at positions 29 to 523 of the family's 1533-position model. The record is from RNAcentral.
AACGAACGCUGGCGGCAUGCCUAAUACAUGCAAGUCGAACGAGAUCUUCGGAUCUAGUGGCGCACGGGUGCGUAACGCGUGGGAAUCUGCCCUUGGGUUCGGAAUAACAGCGGGAAACUGCUGCUAAUACCGGAUGAUGACGUAAGUCCAAAGAUUUAUCGCCCAGGGAUGAGCCCGCGUAGGAUUAGGUAGUUGGUGGGGUAAAGGCCUACCAAGCCUACGAUCCUUAGCUGGCCUGAGAGGAUGAUCAGCCACACUGGGACUGAGACACGGCCCAGACUCCUACGGGAGGCAGCAGUAGGGAAUAUUGGACAAUGGGGGCAACCCUGAUCCAGCAAUGCCGCGUGAGUGAUGAAGGCCUUAGGGUUGUAAAGCUCUUUUACCCGGGAUGAUAAUGACAGUACCGGGAGAAUAAGCCCCGGCUAACUCCGUGCCAGCAGCCGCGGUAA